UUAGUUGAAACCAAAUUUAGAGGUAUGUCACUGUUAAUGACAAAAUUGAAAUACUUUCCAAUUAAA
This 66-nucleotide transfer RNA is filed under the name Adelium sp. NCS-2009. RNAcentral's name for it is "tRNA-Asn". Lineage: Eukaryota; Metazoa; Arthropoda; Insecta; Coleoptera; Tenebrionidae. The record is from RNAcentral.